UGGGGAAUAUUGCACAAUGGGCGCAAGCCUGAUGCAGCCAUGCCGCGUGUGUGAAGAAGGCCUUCGGGUUGUAAAGCACUUUCAGCGAGGAGGAAGGUGGUGAACUUAAUACGUUCAUCAAUUGACGUUACUCGCAGAAGAAGCACCGGCUAACUCCGUGCCAGCAGCCGCGGUAAUACGGAGGGUGCAAGCGUUAAUCGGAAUUACUGGGCGUAAAGCGCACGCAGGCGGUUUGUUAAGUCAGAUGUGAAAUCCCCGGGCUCAACCUGGGAACUGCAUUUGAAACUGGCAAGCUAGAGUCUCGUAGAGGGGGGUAGAAUUCCAGGUGUAGCGGUGAAAUGCGUAGAGAUCUGGAGGAAUACCGGUGGCGAAGGCGGCCCCCUGGACGAAGACUGACGCUCAGGUGCGAAAGCGUGGGGAGCAAAACAGGAUUAGAUACCCUGGUAGUCCACGCUGUAAACGAUGUCGAUUUUGGAGGUUGUGCCCUUGAGGCGUGGCUUCCGGAGCUAACGCGUUAAAUCGACCGCCUGGGGAGUACGGCCGCAAGGUUAAAACUCAAAGGAAUUGAC
This 569-nucleotide ribosomal RNA is filed under the name uncultured bacterium. Its description in RNAcentral is "partial 16S ribosomal RNA". It matches the Rfam family "Bacterial small subunit ribosomal RNA", at positions 355 to 914 of the family's 1533-position model. The record is from RNAcentral.